CGUAGAUAAUCUACCCUAGUGUUUGGGACAACAUCGGGAAACUGGUGCUAAUACCGGAUACGCUUCUAAUAUUGCAGGAUAAUAGAAGGAAAGAUGGGGACCCUUCGGGGCCUAUUGCACAAGGAUGAGUCUGCGUACCAUUAGCUAGUUGGUGGGGUAAAGGCCUACCAAGGCUUCGAUGGUUAGCGGGUCUGAGAGGAUGAUCCACCACACUGGCACUGGAACACGGGCCAG
This 234-nucleotide ribosomal RNA is filed under the name uncultured bacterium. RNAcentral describes it as "partial 16S ribosomal RNA". It matches the Rfam family "Bacterial small subunit ribosomal RNA", at positions 116 to 334 of the family's 1533-position model. The record is from RNAcentral.